Pollicipes pollicipes is the source of this 961-nucleotide long non-coding RNA. RefSeq lists it as uncharacterized. NCBI's taxonomy places the organism in Eukaryota, Metazoa, Arthropoda, Thecostraca, Pollicipedomorpha, Pollicipedidae. The transcript has 3 exons. The record is from RefSeq and is a predicted model, not a curated record.
CGGGAGGACCGGCUCAGCCUCAGCUACGCCGACCCCGCGCGGGGCUCGCCCAGCUUCUACCACUUCCGACCCGUCAAGGUGCAGCCUGCUGUUGCAGAUCACAGGAAGAAGGCGCCGCCGCUGCCGCUGCCGUCCUACUACCAGCCGCCCUACCUGAUCCCGCGGUGCUCAGGGUACAUCAGACAAGAGGACAACCUGUACAACACCAUCGACCACAUCAAGUCGCAGUACCGCGGCCCACCGGAGCGCACGCUGUCUGCGGGCAACCCCAAUGUGUUCUUCUACCGGACUCCACCGCACCCGGGCAUGAUGUACUGAGGGCGGCGGCGGCGACGGCUCCACUCUACUGUGGAGAGAUGAUCUCUGACGGCGUUGGAUGCCGGAAAAUGCGCGGUCGUUGUCGAUGAAAAGUGCCGGACCUGUGGUGGGAGACCACGGUGCCAAUACGAGCGCUUGGGGUCGCGUUCGGCGAGGGGCGAGAGCGCGGUCCGAGCGUGGGUCGUUCCGUGAGUGGUGUGUUUGAGAUCGAGUGCGAGAUGCGAUUGGUGCGUCGUGUGCUCUGGGAGGAGUGGGCGGGGGGAAAGUGUCGCACUGAGACUGAGUGGUGUGGCCUGAUGCAUUGGCGAUGCACUGCACUGUACCAUUGGUAUUGAAUUGCAUGGAGCCAAACAUCUCCAAGUGUACUUAGGCCGUGACCGAAGUUGGGGCGACUUGUGGCAUGGCGGAUACCAGUGAAAGAGCGCCGUCUGAUAUGAAUUCUAGUGCGGUUUGCCAUGUCAUAAUCGACGUGCCAGCGAGUGCAUAUGGAACAUAGGCGAAUAAUGUUAUGGUUAGGUCUCGAUGCCGAGCUGCGACCCCAGCCUGACAGCCUGAGGUGUCACGAGGCAAAGAAAUGAAGAUCUUUGCGUGGCAGCCAGGCAGGAGCUGCACACAGGCGUGUGAUGACGCAAUACAUGCCAGG